AUACGGAGGAUCCGAGCGUUAUCCGGAUUUAUUGGGUUUAAAGGGUGCGCAGGCGGGAGAUUAAGUCGGCGGUGAAAUUUUGCAGCUCAACUGUAAAAGUGCCUUCGAUACUGGUUUCCUUGAGUGUGGAUGGAGUAGGCGGAAUUUGUGGUGUAGCGGUGAAAUGCUUAGAUAUCACGAGGAACUCCGAUUGCGCAGGCAGCUUACUAAACCACUACUGACGCUCAGGCACGAAGGCGUGGGGAUCAAACAGGAUUAGAUACCCUGGUAGUCCACGCAGUAAACGAUGAUUACUGGCUGUUUGCGAUACAAUGUAAGCGGCUGAGCGAAAGCGUUAAGUAAUCCACCUGGGGAGUACGUUCGCAAGAAUGAAACUCAAAUGAAUUGGCGGGG
Molecule: ribosomal RNA, 393 nt
Filed under: uncultured bacterium
Lineage: Bacteria
Description: partial 16S ribosomal RNA
Rfam family: Bacterial small subunit ribosomal RNA
Source: RNAcentral